UCCCUGGUGGCUCAGAUGGUAAAGAAUCCGCCUGCAAUGCGGGAGACCUGGGUUCAAUCCCUGGGUUGGGAA
Bos taurus (domestic cattle) is the source of this 72-nucleotide non-coding RNA. The record is from Rfam. NCBI's taxonomy places the organism in Eukaryota, Metazoa, Chordata, Mammalia, Artiodactyla, Bovidae.